GUGUCAGCCGCCGCGGUAAUACGGAGGGUGCGAGCGUUGUCCGGAAUCACUGGGCGUAAAGGGCGCGUAGGCGGCGCGGGUAGUCAACGGUGAAAGCUUGGGGCUCAACCCCGAGUCGGCCGUCGAUACUCCCGUGCUCGAGCACUGUAGAGGCAGGUGGAAUUCCGGGUGUAGCGGUGGAAUGCGUAGAGAUCCGGAAGAACACCGGUGGCGAAGGCGGCCUGCUGGGCAGUAGCUGACGCUGAGGCGCGACAGCGUGGGGAGCAAACAGGAUUAGAUACCCCUGUAGUCC
This 292-nucleotide ribosomal RNA is filed under the name uncultured bacterium. Its description in RNAcentral is "partial 16S ribosomal RNA". It matches the Rfam family "Bacterial small subunit ribosomal RNA", at positions 505 to 796 of the family's 1533-position model. The record is from RNAcentral.